GAAUUUCUAGGAAUGAAAAUGAAGCCCGUACACAAUCUCUCUCUCUCUGGAUUUCUAGGAAUGAAAAUGAAGCCCUGACACAAUGUCUCUCUCUCUCUCUUUGAAACAAUAACUGAAACUUCUCCAAAAGUUUAUUAAAUUUAUUUCUAAAUUCUAUGACAUCGGUUUCAUGGAACAAAGUCAUAAACCAUAUGAUACCAAGAAAGACACCGGGCUAUUCAUUUUGACUACUAAAAUGUGGAGUACAGUGGAGAUUACCAAUAAUAAUCGCUACAUUCUGCAAUCUGUAGUACAAAGACACAAAUAAUCCCUUCUCUCUCUGCAAAAUGCAGACGUAUUCAUUGUUACCUUUCUUUCCGAUAAAAAACGAAGAAACAGGCCUUUCUCUCUCUCUCUCUAUAAGCAGAGCCUUAGGUUGAGAGAACUCGUUUUCUCCUCCUCCAAUCUUUUUUCUCUCUUCUCCCCUCCAUUCGUCACAGACCGCACUUUUCUCUCACAGGACUUAAGCGGUUUUGGAGAACCACUCACCUGUUUCGCGAAAGCAGAAUUAUUAGCCUCGAAAUCCUCCCAUUCGAAGGAAGGAAUCCAAGGUGGUAAUUUUUCAGGCGUCUUCCUUUUAGUUUCGUGUUCUGAAAAUUUAUGCAUUCUUCUGAUUAUUGCAAAGAACUCCUCCACCUCUUCUUCCAAGAUUGCAGAGCUAACUUCACCGCGAAAUUGAUUUUCCCCAAAAAAUUCCGGCGAGUUUCUUGGCCGCUUCCUUUUUUCCGGUUCCAUCACAACCACCCCACAAACACAGAACAGUUUGGGAAUACCUACUCUGGUGAAAUAUUCGCCGUGCAAUGUCUUUUAUGCACAAGUGAAGCUAUGUGGUAUUUAAUAUAGAGGAGCGAGAUAUUUUGUGCCUUGUCCUUUUUAAAAAAUAUUAGUAUGCUCCCGUACUGUAAGUUAUAAUUUCUUGAAGAAAAAUUGUUUCACGCGGGCAGGAGUCAUGUCUACGCAUUUAAAAUCAAUGGAAACUAAUGGUCCAAAUAUUUUUUUAUUAAAAUUAUUAUUUUUAAUUUUUAAAAUUUAUUUAUUUAUUUAUAUUCAUGAUCUCCAUGUUAGGGAUUACAUGCUUUUAAAAGUUAAGUCUUAAAAUCCACCUCAAAAAUAGAUUUAUUAAGAGACUGGCAUUUCUACAUACAUGGGCUUUGCUGUAUAGAAACCGUGCCCUUUUUUGAGAGGACACGGUUUCUAUCAGACUAUAAAGAAAUGAGUCGACUCUUAAAAAUUUAUUUUUAAGAUGCACUUUUGGACCCAAAUUUUAAAGACACGUUGGAGAUCAUAAGUAUAAAAAAUAAAUAAAUUUUAAGAAAUAAAAAUAAUGAUUAUAUGAAAAAAUAUUUAGACCGUUAGUUUCAAAGGAUUGUUUUUAGAAGGACCACCUAUUUGCAUCCAUCUUUAAGAUGGAUGCUUUAAACCUUGGGACCACAUAUUGUGGAAAUACAGUCCAUCCCGCAUGAAACAAUUCUCAUUCUUGAAAAACUUUUCAAAAGAGAUUUAGAUAAUUUCUUUUUACUACUUUUUGUCUACUCUGUUUUUUUUUUUUUCACAAGAAUUAUUAACACUCUUACAACCACCUAUUUUGAAAUCUAAGAGACAAAAAUGCUUGGCACUUUUUUGUACAAAAGGAAAAUAAUCUAUAUUAGAGAAUCCCUUAGACAGGAUUACCUUCUUGGUUAUUUUUUUUAUUUUUUUUUGUGGAAAUGGUCAUUAGGUACAAGGCAAUUAAAAUCGUAACUUAAUGUCUUUGUUUAAUGUGAAUGCAGUCAAUGGGCCUCCGCCUAAAAUUAUACACAGACAUGCGAGUCUACUUUUUUUUUUUUUUUUCACUCACUCCAUCGGUUUAUUCAAAUCCAAGUAUUGUAGAUGUUUUUUCUCAACUAUUUUUUCGGAAUCAUACACACAAGGGAGAACAUUUUUAAUCAAAUAAAAAUUUUGUACAUGUUUUUUUCUCUCAACAAUUUUUCCCGAAUAAUAUUACAAGGAUAAGGUAUUGUCAGCAACUCAGCUAUUUAAAUGAGUUGUCUCAGCAAAAUAUAGAUGAAUUUUGGAUUUAAAAUUUUAGAGGAUAAAAAUCUCAACCGUGAUAAGUAGGAAUUUGAAGAAAGAAUCAAUUUUAUAAAUAAAAAAUAAAUCUUUUUUGAUGUAGUUUUAAGACCAUUGCUUUUAAAGUUAUGCUAGGUUAACAUUAUGUCACAUCUAUAUCGAAGAUGGAUGUUACAUGUAUCACGGGAUGCUAUAGCAGAAGUACAUCCCUUGAUCCGUAAACCACUUUUUCAUACAUUGUGUGGUGUAAAGCACAGAAAAAUAUAUAUAUAUAUAUUUUAAAAAAAAGAGCACAAUGCUAUAGCAGAAGUACAUCCCUUAAUCCGUAAACCACUUUUUCAUACAUUGUGUGGUGUAAAGCACAGAAAAAUAUGUAUAUAUAUUUUUUUUAAAAAAGAGCACAAUGCUUUUUUAAAAAGAGAACUUGAGCUUAAUUAAUUAAUUACGGUAAUUUGCAACACUAUAUCCUAGGCUAAAUUCAAGGUAGGGGCCCAAUCCCCACUAAUUUUUUGUGCGUUUUAAAGAGCAUCUCAAUCGUUGAAUAAUGGACGGUGAACAUUGCACCCCCUUAAAAGCGUGCACUGACAUUGCGAUCGUAAAUGGUAACACUACUCUCAGUAGCAGGUGCAUCUGCCAUGGCAUUUGAGAACGGUCCAAAUUUGGGGAAAGGUUCUUUAUGCAUCUCCCGAUGCAUAAAUUAAGUGGUGUCCCUCUCUAAAGUAUAAAAAUUAAUGUUUUAUAAAUAUUUUAUAAGAUUUUAUUUUUAUUUUUAUAUAACGAUGAUCUAAGAUCAUAUAUAAAAAUAAAUAAAAAAUUAUUUUAUAUGGACCGGACCGCAUUUCUACAAUAUGCAGUCCCAAUGUAUAAAACAUCCACUUUGAAGAUGGAGGCAAAUAGGCAGUCUUUCUAAAAACAAUUGAAACUAACAGUCUAGAUGUUUUUUUUAAUAGAAUUAUUAUUUUUAUUUUUAAAAAUUUAUUUAGUUUUUCAUAUUCAUGAUCUCCAUGCUAGAGAUUACAUGUCUUUAAAAAUUAAGUCCAAAAUCCAUCUAAAAAANNNNNNNNNNNNNNNNNNNNAAAAAAUACUCUUUUAAGAGGUGACUCAUUUCUACAUGGACUCAUAGAAACCAUGUUUUUGAAUAAAACGUAGCUUGUACUAAAUGCAAACGAGAACCUAUUAUUAUAGUUAUGCAACUAUUAAUAUUAAUAAUAUUAUUAAUAAAUAUGAUUAUAAAUUUAAAAUCAAUUUGAAUAAUUUCAAAUUUAACAAAAACAGAUUUACGGGAUAAGGUUGGAUAGGGUGAAGUACAUAUUGACAUUUUGAUUUUUAAGAACGGUUCGACAUGUCCUUAAAAAUUAAGUAAAAAAGUCCAUCUCAAAAAUAAAUUUUUAGGAGGUGACUCAUAUCUACAUGGACUCAAAAAAAUUGUGUCCAACAAGUGAGGUUAAAAAUCCAUCUCAAAAAUAGAAUUUAAUGAGGGAACACAUAUAUACAUAUGAGGCUUACUCCUAGAAACUGUGUUUCCAAAUUUAUUAAAGAUACGUAUAAAAUUCGUGCUUGAGAUGGAGGCUUCAAAGGGCAUUUUUAACAUGGACACGGUUUUUAUGAGUCCACGGACACACAUGUAGAAAUGCGGACUUUUUAAUAAUUUAUUUUUGAAAUAGAAUUUGAUCCUAAUUUUUAAAGAAUAUAUAUCUCUAAUAUAGAGAUUAUAAGUAUAUAAAAAGAAAAAUUAAAAGCUAGAAAUGAUAUUUUUGGAAAAAAAAUAUUUGAACAGUUGAUUUUACUUCUGCUUUAGAAGACUAUUAUUUACACGACCUGGUUUUGAUGGAAGGUAUAAAUAUCCACCCCACAUAAUAACAGUUGGCCGCAUUGAACAAUGUUCCUUUUGCCAUAGGAUUAGGUUAGUGUGGUGGGAACAUUAUGGUAUUUUAGAAAGGAAAAUUACAAAAAAAUCCCAAGACCACAUUGUCUAUGCAACUUAUCCCCAACAUAAUUUUUUUUCCCACUUUUUUUUUCGAAACAUACUUUUUAUAUAAAUACUCCAAAAGAAAAAGGUUUAUAUUUUAGGCGGAAAUACCAUUUUUAUAUAUAUUAAAAAAUCAUUUUGGAUAAAUUUGACAUUGACUUUUGGACCGUAUAGCACAUUGUUGGAGUACAUAAGUACCGGACCGCCUUUUGCAACUGCCGGAUUGCUCUUUACAACUACCGGACCGUCAAUUUCAAUUGCUGGACCGCAUUUUAUACAGUCGCCCUACUGCCAGACUGCAGUUUACACAAUGUCGAAACUUUACUGCCGGAGCCGUUAUUUUGGUGGGAUAGAGGAGAAAGAGGUAUGGGUAAAAUAAAAGUAAUGGAGGGUUGUUUAGGUUUUUUUUUGUUGAGGGGUUUUUGCAUAAAAAAUAUAUUUUGAAAAUAAAAUGAGAAAAAAAAAAAAAUUUGUAGUAAGUUAUAAUUUUGGAGUUUUUUAUUUUUAUUUUUUAUUUGUAAUUUUCCCAUUUUGAAAAGAUGUUGGGGGCUAUAAGCAAAGAAACGGAAAGUGUCUUUGGGCGUCAGCGUGAUCAUUAAUCCUCUGGCUUUAUGACGCAGUCAAAAUGACGCCAUCCUUGUCAGACGGCACAUACGUACAUAUCUAAGAAGAAAAACUAGGUAAAAGAAGGAAAAAUGGGAAACCGAUAUUUAAGAAGCGAAACAAGAGCCACAAUAUGAUGGAACGCAUGAGGACCGAUAUUUAAGAAGCGAAACAAGAGCCACAAUAUGAUGGAACGCAUGAGGCCCCAACUUCCUUUAAAAAUAAAGUCAUUUUCCUCCAUAUAAUAAUAUCUUGCUGUACAUGUGAUUCACAAAAUUCUAACCUAGAAAGUUUUUGUAUCAAAGUAGAGUAUUAGAAUCAUUCAUGGAAAUUUCGUCCGUUGUAACCAGUAACCGCCUUGUUAGAUCAGAACUCGCCGGUUCUAGUUUCAGUUGGUUUUGGUGACCGAUCAGGUAUUUUUUAAUUUUUUUAAAUAUUAUAUAAAAUUUCAUAAAAUAAGAGAUUUUGUUUGUAAUCUAUUUUUUAAUGUUUUCAUCAUUACAACAAAAAUUAGAAAUUGUUUUGGCCAUUAAUAUUUAAGGUGCGUUUUGUUUUGGCCAUUAAUAUUUAGGGUGCGAUUUCUAUAGAGUCGAGGCUCUAAACAAUCAAAGUAAAGCACACCUACAAACAGUGUCAAGAAAUAUGGUUUCAAUACUGGAAAUCUCUAUAAUAACCUUAAAAUAUAUUUUCAUCUUUAACUAUAAAAUUUAAAGCUUAAAAAUGAUGUAGAUCGAGCUGAUCUAUGAAAACUUGAAAUUCUUGAAAAUUUACGGUCAAAAAAAUGCAUUAUAAGAUGCAUUAUUUUCAAAACUUGACAUGUCCAUCUAUCCUAAUGUCGAGAUGAUUAACUUGAGAAUAUUUGGGCAUCAAAACAAUCUCUUCUAGUUAAAUUUUUGAGGUGGGCUCUAAUUUGAUUGUUUAGAGCCUCAGUUUUUAUAUAAACUUUUUCUUAAUAUUUAUUUUUACAUUUUCCCAUCUCUUUUUUAAAAAAAAUUCAAAAAUACCCCUAGGUACAAAUUUAUUAUUUAAAAUUCAUUUUCCAUUAAUUUUCAACUCAUUUGGAUAUGAUUUGUUUAAUUAUUUUUUAAAUAUACUUUUUUUUAUUUGAUUUUAUUUGUAUUUUUUAACACUUUUUUACUGCCCUAGACGUGCCAGAUUAGAACAGUUGAACCGCCUGAUUUACCCUUUAGACCAGUUGAACCGCUUCUAGACCCAUGUCCGGUUAACCUUUCAGAUUCGAUUUUUCUUACGCCGCUUAAAAUUGAGUAUAAUAUGGCUCACUUCUUAUCAAAACUUUAGAGGCUGGAUUUUUAUAGCACAACAUCUCACGUUCCAUUCUUGCGUAACUUUUUUUUUUACUUUUUUAAAAAAAGUCAUUUUGAUAUGUGUGAUUAUAGGGAAGAACUUUUGUUCGGCGUGACACCUAAAGACAAUAAGAGAUAUCAAAAGAUUUUAUUGUACAUGUAUUCGGCGGGGUUACAUCUAAAGACAAUAAGAGAUACCAAAAGAUUUUAUUGUACAUGUAUUCGGCGUGACAUCUAAAGACAAUAAAAGAUAUGAAAAGAUUUUAUUGUACGUAUAUCGUACUGUAACUUCGAAUUCUAACUAAUAAAAAGGCACUAUUAACGGUUAAAAAAGAAGAUAUCAAAAUAUUUCUAGGCUCACUAAGGCACUUUCCUUUAAACUUUAAACGAUGGAAAAUGGUUUGGUAGUGAUGCAACCCUGUCGAAUUGCGUUACCUAAUGACUCAUCGAAAAUUUUAAUUUAUUGAAAAACUUUUACAUCAAUCAUAUUGAUUUGAAAAUUAUGGUUGUGAACAAAAUCAAGAUUUAAAAUUUUAAAAAUUAGUAUAUAUUUUAACAAAUUAUCUAUUAGGUCUAUUUCGCCAUAAAAAUAAGUAUUAAAAAACCCAAUAACUUGUACCUUUUUUUGAGUUUUUAAUUUUAUUGUUAGUAUUGAAAAUUAAUUUUAGAUCCAUCAUGAAAAUUUUUGUGGCCGAAAGUGCCUUCCAGACAAAAAUUUAAAGUGAGACUUUAUUUGAUUGUCAUAGAACAUAGGUCUUAUAGAAACUUCAUCCCUAAAUGAUAUCGUAUGGUUCAUGGUUGUGCACUUAUUGCUCAUCUCAAUAAUCCUCGUGUAUCUUCAGGUACCUUUUAAUUUCAAUCCCAUUACAAUGUUCCCGGGCACUUGAUAUUGGGGCUAUUUAAGCUAUUGCUAACAUAUUGACCCAUGUCAACAUGUUUAGUGACCGAAAAUGAUUAACAUAUGUUCUUUGUUAUGCACACUCAUCCGCACCCUUAUUAGACCACAACAUCACAUCCAAUGGUCAUUUAAAAAAAAAAAAAACAAUUUGUUGAGCUCUUGAAUACCUUGAUGAUCGUCCAAUGGGAGUGUCUAUGUUCAUCCUUAUGUAGGUGACUUCUUUAGAGCACUAGUCAACUAUGUUUCUUUUAAUGAAAAUAUUUUUGCGCCUUUUAUUUUUAGAUUUCAUAUGCCAAUAGAUCGAAAAUUUCAAAACAUAAGACAUAAAAAUAUCAACUUUUAUAUCUUCUAACCCUUUAGCUUAACUUUACCCAAAUUUUUUUUUUUUUAACUCAAAUACUUUGUUGAAAGACAACUCUAUUUAAACCCUAUUAUUUCUCUACGUCCACAAGAUAUUCUCUCUCCCGUGACUCUCUCUAAUUUCUAUCUCUUUCUCUCUCCCUUAUGACACUCUAAUUUUACUCUCUCUCUCCAUAAUGACUCUAUAUAAUUUCGUGCUCUCUCUCUCCACCAUGACUUUUCUUAAUUUCGCACUCUCUCUCUCCACCAUGACUUUCCUUAAUUUCGCACUCUCUCUCUUUCUCACCAUGAAACUUUCUCUCUCACCAUGAAUCUUUCCAAUUGCACCGGGCUCUCCCUACUUAUUAACCAGAGCAAAAGUAUUUAACAAUGCCGCAACAAAAAGAGUACAGCAUAAUCAAAAGUAAAGCACCCGUAAGGAUCAGAUAGAAAGGAAAGGAGAACUAGAAGUGGAUAGAAAAAACGGCAUUUUACUUGAGUGGGCCAAACACCUAACCCGAAAAACAAAAAAGUGAAGCACUUAACCGGAAAAAAAAAUCUUGAACUCCACAACCCUAAAAAAUGACAUUCAUAGAAAGUUCCAACCUUUGCAAUAGUGCUUUGAACAUAUGCAAAAUAGCGGGAUAGAGAGAGAACAUGUGGCUUGGGGUGCGAACCUCUACAAAUACAGCUUUAUGUGGUUUGGAACCACUGCAAAUAAAGCUUUAUUUAAUUUGGGACCUCUGCAAAUGGAGGUGCCUAUGAUUUGGGGAGCGAAGAUCUACGCUCAAAUAAAGUCCUUGAGGAUUGGGGGGAGAGAGGUUGGGUAAACAAAGGGAGAGAGAGGUUGGGAAACUCAGAGAGAGGGGUUGGGAGAGAAAGAAGUAGGGAAACACAAAAAAGGGAUAGGGGAAACACGGCGAGAGAGAGGGAGGGGUAAGAGAGAUAAAGAGGGGAGAGAGAGUGGGGGUGAUAAGGGGAGAGAGUGGGGGUGUCGUAUUUUGGUGGGAUGGAGAAGAGAGGCGUGGGUAAGGUAAUAGUAAGGGAGGGUAGUUUAAAUAUUUUUUUAAUUUUUUUGGUUUGGGGAUUGCAUAGAAAGUAUAUUUUAGAGAAAAAAAGUGAGAAAAAAAAAUUAGGUUGGGGUAAGUUACUUAAAAAGUGUAGUUUUGAAGGUUUUUUUUUUGAUAAUUUUUUUGAUAUAUAUAUUUUUUUAAGUAAGUAAUAUGGUGAGUGGAUGACGCCCCAUCUUUUCCGGUUCUAAAAAGACUCCUAACCAGUGGUUGCACAUUCUGUGAACCUAACUAGAAAUUGGUAGAUAAGGGGUCGUUUAGUAUGCGUGAAAAUUUGAGAAUAAAAUAUUUAUUUUACAUAUGCAAAUAUUUUGCAGGAAAAAGCUACUCAAACUUGCUUUUUCCAUGUUUGAUGAACGUAAUUGGAAGCAGGUGCUCUCUCAAAAAAAAUUUGAAGUAUUUUAUUUCUCCAAACUUUAAAUUUGUUAUAGUUUCUUUCUCUAAAAUUUUUGAGACAAUUUCUCUCUCUAAAACAUGAAUUUUGAGAUAGUUUCUCUAUCUAAAAAUUUGAUAGUUUUUUUCUCUAAAAAUUUGAAAUUUAUGAUAGCUUCUCUCUAAAAAAACUUUGAGAUGGUUUAUCUCUCUAAAAACUUUGAGAUAAUUCCUCUCUCUAAAAAUUUUCAGGUAAUUUCUCUCUCUAAAAUAUGAAAUAGUUUCUCUCUAUGUAAAAUUUUAAAAUACUUUAUCUCUCUAAAACUUUUGAAAUAGUUUUCUCUAAACAUUUUUAGGUAGUUUCUCUUUUAAAACUUUGAAAUUUGAGAUAAUUUCCCUCUUAAUAAAUUAUGAGAUAAUUUCUUUAAAAAAUUUUUAGUAGUUUUUCUCUCUAAAACGUAUUUUAAGAAUACUUCCUCUUUUUAAAAAAUUUUAAGAUACUUUGUCUCUCUAAAACUUGAAAUUUGAUAUAGUCUCUCUCUAUAAAAAAUUUUAGAUAGUUUCUCUCAAAAAUGUAUCUGAUAGUUUCUCUUUCUAAAAUUUGACAGUUGCUCUCUCUAAAAUUUUAAGAUACUUUCUCUCUCUAGAAUUUAAAAUAUGGGGUAGUUUCUCUUUCUAAUUAGUGGAGAUAUUUGGCAGAAUUAAUUAUAUUUGGUAAAAUAGGUGACUCCAGUGUGUGAAAAUAAACCCACGAAAAUAUUUCCCCACCUCAAACAUACAUUUUCACAUGAAUUCGUCCAACUUGUAGUAAAAAUUUUAGCUAUACAAAAUUUUCAUAUGUAUUUGUAACAUACCAAAUGUGCAUAACAUAAUUUUCACAUAAAAAUAUUUUGCAUAAAAGAAUUUUCACAUAUAAUCUUAUUUCUUAUUUUUAUCCACUCAAUACUUAUAUAAAUAAAAGAAGCUAAAAAGCAGUGCAAAACUUGCAAUAACCAUCGAAAUUAUGCCAGUCCGUCAAUGGAGGCCAUCGCUAAAGUUUCAUAUAAUAUCACAUAAUAACUUAAGGGGUCCACCUAAACAAAUCAAAGUAAGACACAGCUUCAAAUUAUAUUAUUAAAUGCAAUUUAGAUUCUGGAAAUAGUUGAGGAUAGUUUAAAAAUAUAUUUUACUACCAAUUAUAAAAUUGUAAAGCUGCGAAAGUAGUAAAGAUGGAGUAGAUCUAUAAACAUUUAAAAAAUAUUGAAAAUAAACGGUCAAAAUAAUGUAUUAUAGGACACAGUAUUUUUAAAACUUUAAAAUAUUUUUUUUCUAUAACCUUACAUCUCAAAGCCGUGAUGAUCGACUUAAGGAUUUUUAUCGAUGUGUUUUUUGGAUGCGUCUUUCAUAAUAUAAGUUUGAUGCCUUACAUAAAUUCCGUAGUUGAAAAUUCUCGAAUAAAUUUUCUCCAUUAAAUGUUACCAUUUCCUUUGUAAUAAAAGUAAGCAGUUUUGAACCUCCUUCACCAUAACUAACUUAGGGUCCGUUUGAUAGCAUCAAAUAUCCUGAUAUUUUGGGAUAUUAUAGAAUCAAAUAUAUUUUGAAUAAAGGAAAUCCGUGAUGGAGCUAAAUAACAUAUUUUAAUAUUCAAAUAACCGUUAAAUAUCUGAAUCCUCAAUAAUUCAAUUUGUACUUGAAUUUUGCAGGAUGAUUUUUUUGUUUUUGGGUGGCUCUCCUCUCUUCCACUCAUCUCCCUCCCUGUCAAUGGAGACCCACACCCCUCCUCUCUCUCUUCUCACACUUUCUCUCAACUCGCUUUACAAUCUCUGCUGCCCAUUAGAUUUAGUCUCUCUUCCCAUGAGAAAGACGCGUAUUAGAGUUUGUGCCUGAAAUUUUCUUUUAUAUUCUUGUCUUUUUGCUUGGGGUUUUCAUCUCUAAGCUCUGCUUAAUCUAGAUUUUGGUUAUAUUUUUGGGGCUUCUUGGAUGCCCAUCAAGCCUGUGCUUAUGGAUGGAUUUUUUUCCCUCAUGGUAAUCGAAUUCUCUGCAAUUUUUGUAAUUGAUAAUGGAUUAACCAAUUGCCAUGGAGAGAGAGCAUUUAAACUUGCAGGUUGACAUGGAGAAAGACAAAUAAUUCGUGUCCCCAAUCCAACCCCAAAAGCAAUAGAAAGGGAUGGAUGCAACGAAGAAACCCAUUAAUAAGUAGGUCUACAGAGAGUGAGUGAGAUUUAAUUUUCUGAGAUGGCUUGCAAAUGAGAAGAGAGAUUGAUUUAAUUUUCUGAAUUUUCGAUGGCUUGUAUUUUAGAGAGAGAGAUUUAAUUUUUAGAAUUUGGCCCGUACAGUUACUCUUUCUUCAUUCAGUUUUUUUUUUUUGGCAAAAUUUUUAAACCAAAUUAUCCUGCUUGAUUUAUUUCUUCUUUUAUUUUCUUGUGCAAACUUUUUAAACGAAAUUCUCCUGCUUGAUUUUUAGUGUACUCUUUCUUCCUUCAAGUCUUUUUUUUUGCAAAAUUUUUAAAACAAAUUCUUCUGCUUGAUUUAUUUUUUUCUUUGUUUUUUUUUUGUGUAAACUUUUCAAACCAAAUUAUCCGGCUUGAUUUUUAGUGGUGUUCAUUUGUGAUUAUUUAAGAAUUUCACUCACUUUCAUUUGAUUUUGCUCAAUCAUGAAUGAUUAAUUACUUUAAACUUUAAAGCACAACCUUCUCUAUAACAGACAGGUUUAUCAGAAAUACAACAAACAGUAAAACGCACAUAUAAAUACAUAUAUAAAGAUGACAUUAAAUUCAGUUAUAUAGAAAGGAGGCAAUGCCUUUAUUCAAAUAGCUAAAAAUUUGAAUAUUCAAAUCUUGUUUUAUCAAACAUACUCUUAACGAUCCAAAUUUCCCCCCAAGCUAGUGUCUAAAAGAUUGUAGAGCCAGCUCUAAAUCGCCCAAGUCAACUAAAAAAUCGUCAUGCUAACUACAAAUGGCUCAUAUAAGCAGGUGACUAUCCAAUACCAGAAAAUUGGGGAUUGCUCAUGUUUCUCUCAAAUCACCUGGUUCAUUAUACGAUUCACUCUAAAAAAACCUGGCAACAUUUGCCAGAGAAUUGGGUAUCGCCCAAAUCUUGAUGAAUCCAACUAUUUUUAAAACUAAAAUUUUAGACCACUUGUAAAAGAAUUUCAAUUCACUUAUACAUUGAUUUCAAGUCCUUUAUCUCUCAUGAUUAAUAAAUACUGAUUCUAAUCUUUUUCAUAGAUCUACAAUAUCUAUGCUGUAAUGGGAAAGGGAUUGCAUACAAGUCCUUCCUACCAGCUUGCUCUAAUUUGAAGAAAGGAUUCUACACCAUCCUAGUUUUCAUCGGCACUUUGAAAAGUUUAUGCAUAUAAGAGAACAAAGAUUUAAAAUUCCAAAAUAUUGCAUUAUGUUACACAUCAUUUACAUCAUCCAUUUUCAAAACUUUUAAGUGGGUUUUUUUUUUCUUUGUGAGGAUUUUCAAAAUUUUUAAGUGUUUAUAGAUCUAUUCGAUCUAUAUUAUUUUUAAAAAUUUAAAUUUUAUAAUUAGGUGCAAGAAUAGAUUUUUAAACUAUCUUUGAGCAAGAUUUAGAGGUGUGCGUUGGUUUUAUUGUUUAAGGUUGAAACAUUAUGCACCCUAUUUGAACCUAAUCUCGGUUUUCAAGUGUACUUCAAGAAAAAAUAAAACAUUUUUGAGAAAUUUCUAGGUAUCUCGAUACUUUUUUUAAAUUUUUUAGUUUCAAAUGUAAAUUUUAUAUUUUGAUAUUAAUGGAAGUAUUUUAUGACAUUUCGUAUAUUUUAUAGGUACUUUGUGAAAUUUUAAAAUAUGUUCAGGUUAAUUAUCAAACUUUUUUCAAUUUAAGGAGGAGCGAUAAACUCCCAUUGGGUAGGGGAUGGGGUCGGUGGUAGCAACCCACACCUAGUCACUAUAGUGGGGUUGUCAUUCUUAUCAUUAACAUUACCCCACUAACACUUUAAAAAAUCUAACUCCUAAUCCAUUUACAAAAACGGGUGAGGCUUAUCUUCCCUCACUGAAUUACCCCAAAAAAAAAAUCCCAAUCGAAACUACCCUCACAUCAUUUCAAAGUGUGAAUGAAAACUAGGACGGCGUGGAAUUAGAACCCUCUCUUGAAAUUAGAGCAAGUUGGCAGGGAGGACUUGUACGAAAUUUCUCUCCAUUACAAGGAAGACCAAGCAUCCACCAUUAAAUUUUUUACAUGCCAGUACAACGUCCCUCUUCUUCGCUUUCAAUGUUAAGUGCAACGUGCCUCCCACCCUCCCUCUUUUUUUUUCUCUCUCUCUCUCAAUGAAAAUGUUGAAGUUUGAUCCAUGGUGCUGAACAAGAGCGUGUUGUCUAUUUUCAUGCGUGAGGUAGGUGAAGGUCAGGUCAUCCCGAUAAUGUUGGCGUUUGGAGGUGGGUCCUUGCUCGUGACGUUUUCGUUCAAAAUGGGAAAAGUUUAAAAAAAUGGAUUGCUGAUUCGAAUAAGUCACACUCGUACUUGUGUCGAAUUGGGAGAUACGGUGGAUCAGAUCGGAAGAAUCGGAGCAAUCGACAAUUUUUAUCUCAAAUUUUUUUUAAAAAAAAUAAUUCAAGAAAAAAAUGUUUUUUUUUUUUUGGCUUCACUCGGUGAAGAAUCUUCGGAAUCAGCGGCUCCGCAAAAAAUCGGUGACUCUACUAUUUUGAAUAACCUUAUCUAGGACGGUUAUGGCGAUUCUCGAUUUAGAUCGCCCAAUUCCAGAUCUGGUCAUCAAUUUUUAAACCAUUGGUAAAGACAAAAGUCUACAGAUGAAUUUGAGUGAAAUGAAAAGAUUGUUCUAAUCUCUAUCCAAGUUAGUGAAAGUUUUAAUGGAUGCCCCUCUUUUUAUAGGAUUUCCAAUCUUUCCAUCCUAUAGGGUUAGAGAACGGACACGCGAUACACACCAAGCCACUUGUGCAUCCUCUCUUCCUGUAUUUUUGCUUUGAAAAAAUAUUAUUAUUUUAAAAUAAUGUGCAUUUAAAAUUAUUUGUUAUUUGGGAAAUAUAUUUUAUCCCAUCUGUAGUGACAUAAGUAGUAGAUUUGUUGUUCCAAAUUAGAAAAUUAAAAAAUAAAAAAAUUAUUUUAAAAUCUGCGGGUAUCCUCUUUUAUUGAAUUCUAAAAACCAAAAAAAAGAAGGCUCUGCAAAAUUUGGAUACUCAUGCAAAAGAGUGCUAGAGGCAUUCACUCGUCACAUCCAGAGCAUGUAUCAUGCUAUUUGGCAGCGCCAAUCAGGGUAAUAUCGCACAUAAUAGUAUUCCCACUACUAUUUUUAAAAAGAAAAAUUGUUUCAUGCGGAUUCGACUGCAUUUUUACAUGUGCGGUUUUGAAAGUGUAAAGCAAUUAUGUUAAAGAUGGAUAAAAGUAGGUGUUCCAUCUAAAAACAAUACAAACUAAGGGUCAAAAUAUUUUCUUACUAGAGUUAUUAUUUUUAAAUUUUAAAUUUAUUUAUUUAUUUAUUCAUAUUCAUGAUCUCCAUGUUAGAGAUUAUAUGUUUUUAAAAAUUACGUCUUAAAAUCUAUAUAAAAAAUAGAUUUAUUAAGGGGGCUGCAUUUCUACAUAUGCGGGCUUGGCCGCAUAGAAACCAGAUCCUUUUAAAAAUCACUAAUCUUCAUAAAAAGUUAUCUUAAGACCAUCCAGUUACCGUUGUAUGUCAAAAAUUAUCUUAGACGAUUCAGUCCCAUACCAUAUCAGAAACCGACCGCAUAGUAUAGUACUGACCGAAUUCACCAUUCAUUUUUUAUAUUUUUUAGUUCGUAGUUUUUGAACAUUGUUUUUUGUUUAAAAAAGGGCAAACCAUGUGGUCCACACCACUUUCCCCUGCCGGGUCGCUCACCAACUCCGCCUAUUUUAAAACGUCACACCUAAUUCUAUUUAGGAUAUGGUUUGUAAUUGUAUAGAGCCGAGGCUCUAAUCAAUCAAAGUAAAGCGUACUUUCAAACAAAAAUUGUGAUUUCAAUACGAAAAAUCUUUGCGAUAGCUUUAAAAUAUAUUUUUAUCUUUAUUAUAAAAUUUAAAAUUUUGUAGAUCAAGCAUAUCUAUGAAAACUUGAAAAUUUUGAAAGUUAACCGCUAAUGCCAUACAAGAUUCAGUAUUUUCAAAAGUUGAAAUCCAUUUUUAUUCUUAUGUCCAUGCAUCAUAAUGUCGAGAUGAUCAAUUUUAGGAUAUCAAAACAACCACUUCUAGUCAAAUUUUGGGUGGGCUCUAAUUUGAAUGUUUCUAGCCUCAGCUCUAUAUAAACUUCUUUUUUCUUUUAUUUAUAGGCCCCCCUUGCAUUUCACACACUAGCGAUGUGAGACCAAACGUGCCCUUCUGUUUUUUUUCUAAACGUCUCAAGUUUUGCCAUAGGCGUCAAGCUUUCAAGGCCUCGUUCUUCAUGCGUUUUUUUUUUUUUUUUUCUUUCUUUGUUAACAUCGCAUUCUUCUUCUUUUUUCAUGAAAAUGAAAGCCACCAAACACAAUUCAAAAUAUCAUUCUAGUAACUUAAUAGAAAGAUGUAAAAUAUGAAAUAAAUUGCAUCUUUACCAUGCAUGAGAUGUUAAAAACAGCACAAACCAAUAUAGGUUAACACAUUCUUUUCAAAAAGUUUGAAAAUCCCAAAAAUAUAAUUAAGAGAUUAAUUGUUUCUAAAAAUCCCAAAAAAAAAUUUGAUUUUUUUCCUAAAAAUCUUAAAAGAUAAUUGUUCAACAUGCUUUGAAAAGGUACCUGAUAAUUAUGAAAAUUAAAAAGAAAUAUCGUUAAUGAAAUGGAAAACACAAACUAAGGUAAGUUUAAAAGUGUGAAAAAUAAACACAAUGGGCAUGGCUCAUCAAUGUUCAACCGAAUAGGAGAAAGCAUUACAAAGAAAAAAUAAAAAAAGAAAAAUUUAAUAAAAAAACAAGGGGAUUCACUAGGAACUAUUUAUACACUACAUUGUUUUGUUUUUAUUAAAUAAGGUAUUUCUUUCAUAAAAAGGCCAACAAUUGUUGGUAGUGAAAGUAGUGUACAAAAACACUCAGACAUUAGAUAGGUUUCUUGUAUUUACAUAUUUUUGCUAAAAUAAUAAAAAUCAUAAUGCAAUUCACUAUUUGUUUUUUUUGAAAAAUAAAAAACUAGAUUAUUGAGAAAUUUUAGUAUUUUUUGAAAAAUUUUAGUGCCGAAACCUAUUGACCCGGCCGAUUCUUCGAUCAGAAAUACCGAUCUACCGAUUCGACCCAUUGACUCGAGGGUCGACCCAACUAGGUCCAAGUCUAGACCUAGACACUAGUUCCGACUGGUUGGUUCUGGGUGCCAAUAAGUGUAUUAUUGCACACAAUAGUGUUGCUGCUGAUGAGACGAAUUGGAAUUAUCUAAAAUGCCCCUCAGGGCGCAAGGGUGAUUGAGGCUUGCAGUUUCCACAUAGGUGGAAAUUGGUCGGUUUGACCCACUGACCCAAGAUCGACCCGAAUAGGUCCGAGUCUGGACCUAGACACUAGGCCUGACUGGUUGGUUAUGGGCAAACUUGACCUUGACCUGACCAAGGUCAGGUUUGACUUAACUUUACAUGGGUUAGGUUUGGGUCCACCUUGGAUUUUAUCCGGUCAGGUUUAGGUUGGGGUGAACCCGACCAGACCCUACAUGAUAAUUUAAAAUCAUAGGAAUAGUAUUUUAAUUAUAUAAUCUAAAAUAUAGAAAAUAACUUUCCUUUUUACAGACCCAGUUUCCAAGUGACUUGGACCUGGCCGUGGGUUCGAGUCAGGUCCAAGUCUACCUUAGACUAAGUCUGGUCAGAAGCCUUAAUUUUUAUAUAAUGAGUUCCUCCUCCUUUACAUUGAGAUAUCAGGUGUAUAUAUAAAAGUGGGGCCCAAACAGGGGUGGAUACUCAAAAUUCACCUUAAUUGUUGAAAAUUACAAUUUAAUUGAAUUAAAAGAAAUCUAAAAAUGGGACAAUUUUGCCUUUCCCCAACAAUUCAUAUAAUUCCAAUUCAGUUCCUAUUUCUGCCUUAGAAUAUGUGCAAUCUUCUAAGGCUGAUUCGAGGUUGCUCCGGCGCUCGUUCGGCCAAACGAUGAUUGUUUUCUUGUUGGACUCGAAAUGACGAUCGUUUUGAUAUCCAUUUUGAAUCACUGCUCGCGUUUUUGGGCCACGAUCAUGAGAUGCAAAAUUUUUUAGGAACUUCCAAUCUUUUGAUCAAGAUUGCACCCAUUUCUCGACAUGUCUUCACGAUUUCUUCGCUGAAUUACGACGAGCACGCCGUUACGAUCGUUUGGCAACAAGCGCAGUUUGAUUUCGUGCCUAAACGAUGAUUUUUUACUUUUGGGUUUUUGGCUGAAAUCUAAAUUCAGGUGGCUAGAAUUUGUAGCAACUUCUUUGUCCUUGCGCGUUAAAUCCAACCGUUCAUCCCAUACGAGGUUCGGCCCAGAUGUAGCCUCAGACGUCGAGCACGUAAUGGAAUUAGUUUCAUGUCGAUGUCGUGUGAUCGUCGUGAUAUGGCCGCUCGAUCAAGGUGUGUCAUUGCUGAUUUUCCUGCAACUUUUACUACAAAUCAUCAACUUCUCUCUAGCUUUUCUCCUUGCUCGGGAGACGUCGCAGUCGUGCCACAUAUCAAAACACUCAGCAUGACGAGAUAAAUAUGCUCCAAAAAUUUGGGCUCGAUCGGACUCAAGACGAGGAGAUACGACUUUCCAAAGUUCGACCCAAAACUGUAAAAACCAGUCUUCAUUAAUGGCAAUUGGUGCAGGGAGGGCGCACGGGAAUAGUGUGCAGCCUACCCCUUUUUAAUAUUUCGGUCAUAACUUUGUCCUGGAGCGUCUGAUUA
Molecule: long non-coding RNA, 17393 nt
Filed under: Amborella trichopoda
Lineage: Eukaryota; Viridiplantae; Streptophyta; Magnoliopsida; Amborellales; Amborellaceae
Description: long non-coding RNA (ATRI_LNC002395)
Source: RNAcentral